AUUGAACGCUGGCGGCAGGCCUAACACAUGCAAGUCGAGCGGAUGAGGGGAGCUUGCUCCUGGAUUCAGCGGCGGACGGGUGAGUAAUGCCUAGGAAUCUGCCUGGUAGUGGGGGAUAACGUCCGGAAACGGGCGCUAAUAUCGCAUACGUCCUGAGGGAGAAAGUGGGGGAUCUUCGGACCUCACGCUAUCAGAUGAGCCUAGGUCGGAUUAGCUAGUUGGUGGGGUAAAGGCCUACCAAGGCGACGAUCCGUAACUGGUCUGAGAGGAUGAUCGGUCACACUGGAACUGAGACACGGUCCAGACUCCUACGGGAGGCAGCAGUGGGGAAUAUUGGACAAUGGGCGAAAGCCUGAUCCAGCCAUGCCGCGUGUGUGAAGAAGGUCUUCGGAUUGUAAAGCACUUUAAGUUGGGAGGAAGGGCAGUAAGUUAAUACCUUGCUGUUUUGACGUUACCAACAGAAUAAGCACCGGCUAACUUCGUG
This 484-nucleotide ribosomal RNA is filed under the name uncultured bacterium. Its description in RNAcentral is "partial 16S ribosomal RNA". It matches the Rfam family "Bacterial small subunit ribosomal RNA", at positions 30 to 507 of the family's 1533-position model. The record is from RNAcentral.